UUUGCUGUUCCCGGCCGCCAGGCCCCGGGAUUAUUUAUCCUGCUUCAGAUGAACCCUGGGCCAUGCUUACCCAUUCAAUUGGACGGUAACAGUUAAGCUGACCGAGUGGCGAACGGGUGAUAAUUCAUCGGAACGUGCCCCGUCGUGGGGAUACCGCAGCGAAAAGCUGCCCUAAUCCCCCCAUACGAUCUGAGGAUGAAAGCGGGGACCGUAAGCCCUCGCGCGAUCGGAGCGGCCGAUGUCAGAUUAGGUAGUUGGUGGGGUAAAGGCUCACCAAGCCGACGAUCUGUAGCUGGUCUGAGAGGACGACCAGCCACACCUGGGACUGAGACACGGCCCAGACUCCCUACGGGAGGCAGCAGUGGGGAAUUUUGGACAAUGGGCGCAAGCCUGAUCCAGCAAUGCCGCGUGCAGGAAGAAGGCCUUCGGGUUGUAAACUGCUUUUGUACGGAGCGAAAAGGCUUUCUCUAAUACGGGAGGCUGAUGACGGUACCGUAAGAAUAAGCACCGGCUAACUACGUGCCAGCAGCCGCGGUAAUACGUAGGGUGCGAGCGUUAAUCGGAAUUACUGGGCGUAAAGCGUGCGCAGGCGGUUUUGUAAGACAGGCCGUGAAAUCCCCGGGCUCAACCUGGGAAUGGCGCUUGUGACUGCAAAGCUGGAGUGCGGCAGAGGGGGAUGGAAUUCCGCGUGUAGCAGUGAAAUGCGUAGAUAUGCGGAGGAACACCGAUGGCGAAGGCAAUCCCCUGGGCCUGCACUGACGCUCAUGCACGAAAGCGUGGGGAGCAUACAGGAUUAGAUACCCUGGUAGUCCAAUC
Molecule: ribosomal RNA, 816 nt
Filed under: uncultured bacterium
Lineage: Bacteria
Description: bacterial SSU rRNA
Rfam family: Bacterial small subunit ribosomal RNA
Source: RNAcentral